ACUGGUGUGACUCCAGAGGACUGCAACAAUGUAGCAUUAUAUGGAAAAUGAUAUAUCAACUAGAUACUGACCUGUCAACCAAAACUCAGUAGUGCGAAAAUUCACUGGAAAAUCUGACAGAGACAGUGUAAAUCCCAUUUAGAACUACUCAGCAGGGAUUUGUUCAGUUGAAAGUUAUGUGAAAAGAAUGUCGUUGUCAUCUCGGGAGAAGUCCAAAGUUGUACUGAGAAAGAAGACAGCUGAGUCAGCAGCAAGUAAUCCUCCAGCUGCUACUGUUAAACCAUAUCCCAGGCCCAGUGACCGGCUAAAUCCAAAAACUAUCAAUCCUUUCAGUGACCCACUGAAGCAACAAUCUGUAUUUGCUGCAGCAUAUGCUAAAAGAGAGAUUCCUUGCAGGUUGUUUCAUGGUUCAGUAAGUCAUAGACUACAAUGGGAUCGGCCACCAGAGACCGUUUGCUUUGACCCUCUUCUUACUACUUUAGCUGAGGGAUUAAGAGAAACUAAACACCCUUACACAUUUGUAGCCAAGGAAGGUUUUAAGGAAUUGCUAGAGAUUGAAGAUGCUGCUGAGAAAGCUAUUCCACUAGUUCCAAAGGUGGUUCCGAAGUUAAAAGCCGCUCUGGCACAUUCAGAUGUUGAGGUUUUUGAGAGAGGAUUGUGUGCUUUGGUCCAGCUUAGUGCUGUUGUUGGUCCAGCUGUAAAUAGCCAUCUUAAACAUCUGUUAACUAGUGAUCUUUUUACGUUGAAAAGGAGUUUGCACUUUGCACCUGGAGUUACAUUUGAAUCUGCCUGACACCUGACUUGAUUCCAGAGAGAAAUAACAUGAUUCCCAUUGCAGAAAGUAGUUUUUUCAUUUGUGAAGCCAUGCUUUAUACCAAAAAUGAUUUUUGAAUUUACUGGCUGAAAACUUCUGGUUAUUGUUAAAUUCAGAGGCCACCUUCUAAAGACUUGAAACAACAGUCUCAAAGAUGGCUGAACCUUUGCAUAACUAAACCUUCCACAUUACAAAGCUGCUGAAAUGGAGACAAGUUGUCAGCAGGAAUUGUCUUGAAGAGUGUCAACGAGGGCCAUGUCCUAAAUUAUUAACAAAACCUCCCAACAAUCACCUGGAUAAUCAACCUGGUGGACAUAAACCACAAGACAUGUCACUUGGUCAGUUGUACUCUAACUAUGAAAUAAUAUUGUCCAGAUGUAAUCCAAACAGCUCAACCAGGCACAUGAACUCCAAGAACCAUGAUCAUAUUUCGAACACUGGUGACCUGGAGGGAAAGGGAGGUUAAUUUUACAAGCUGACUAACCUGUUGUGUGUGAAAGCAUCUCGGUAGACCAGAACAAGAAAAUGCACUGAGGAAACAAGACCCCGAGAGUGGUCUGUGCACAUGCUGUCAAAAAGACUAAUGGACAAAAAACUUAAGCAGCCAAUCACAGAUGCCCUGCAGAGACUGGAACAGCAUGGUGGAAAGGAGAGUCUGGCCAUCAUUAAAUCGAAAAUACCAAC
RNA transcript from Rhincodon typus (whale shark), 1498 nucleotides. It is a transcript of the gene named parkin coregulated like, with no coding region annotated. The transcript has 9 exons. NCBI's taxonomy places the organism in Eukaryota, Metazoa, Chordata, Chondrichthyes, Orectolobiformes, Rhincodontidae. The record is from RefSeq and is a predicted model, not a curated record.